Myotis brandtii (Brandt's bat) is the source of this 158-nucleotide long non-coding RNA. RefSeq lists it as uncharacterized. NCBI's taxonomy places the organism in Eukaryota, Metazoa, Chordata, Mammalia, Chiroptera, Vespertilionidae. The transcript is spliced from 3 exons. The record is from RefSeq and is a predicted model, not a curated record.
CUCCCCCUGCCCCUAGUGCGCGUGGAACUCCGGAGAGGGAAAGGUCACUAGGAUUGUCGCGGGACGCGGCCGUUUAACGAUGUAUAGAAAAAGUAACAACAGACAAAGUGUUCCUGUAGCUGUUGUCUGCUGGGAAUAAAAUCAAAACAUAGAUGUAG